Molecule: ribosomal RNA, 253 nt
Filed under: uncultured bacterium
Lineage: Bacteria
Description: partial 16S ribosomal RNA
Rfam family: Bacterial small subunit ribosomal RNA
Source: RNAcentral
GACGAACCGAGCAAACGUUAUUCGGAUUCACUGGGUUUAAAGGGUGCGUAGGUGGGUUGGUAAGUCAGUGGUGAAAUCUCCGAGCUUAACUUGGAAACUGCCGUUGAUACUAUCAAUCUUGAAUAUCGCGUAGGUAAGCGGAAUAUGUCAUGUAGCGGUGAAAUGCUUAGAUAUGACAUAGAACACCAAUUGCGAAGGCAGCUUACUUCACGAUCAUUGACACUGAGGCACGAAAGCGUGGGGAGCAAACAGG